Molecule: ribosomal RNA, 348 nt
Filed under: uncultured bacterium
Lineage: Bacteria
Description: partial 16S ribosomal RNA
Rfam family: Bacterial small subunit ribosomal RNA
Source: RNAcentral
CCUACGGGGGGCAGCAGUGAGGAAUAUUGGUCAAUGGGCGCGAGCCUGAACCAGCCAAGUCGCGUGAGGGAAGACGGCCCUACGGGUUGUAAACCUCUUUUGCCGGGGAGCAACGGGCGCCACGUGUGGCGCCACUGAGAGGACCCGGAGAAAAAGCAGCGGCUAACUCCGGGCCAGCAGCCGCGGUAAUACGGAGGAUGCGAGCGUUAGCCGGAUUUAUUGGGUUGAAAGGGUGCGUAGGCGGAGCGUUAAGUCAGUGGUCAACUUGAGGGGCUCAACCCCUUCCCGCCAUUGAAACUGGCGCUCUUGAGUGGACGAGAAGUAUGCGGAAUGCGUGGUGUAGCGGUG